CGAGUUUCUUUUUUCCUGAACUGAUAUAUAACUAAACAAAAACCGCCUACAUUUGAAAUACAAACAUAUAAGCAAGUUGCAAUAAUUGGGAAGAGAGAAAAUCAACCGAACCAAAUAUUGGUAGCACUUUACCGUAUAAUGGCUACAAUAUCAGACUUGACAGGGGAGCCACGUGACAUCCAUAUCAAGUAUUAUGGUUGGAAUUUUGGAUACCAUUAGUAUAGAUGGAGUUUGUCCAUUGGCCAAGACAAAAUUUAAGCCACCAACCUGCAAAAGCACAAAAAUCCAAGGAACAAAAUAUAUAAGUACGCACUUUGAAAAUUCUCAAGGCAAAAUCUCAUAAUAUUUAACAAAAAUUACAAUUUUAUUAAGCAGAAUAUUAGUGGAAUACUGAUCAUUAAUGGGUGGUAGUCGAAUAAACAAGAAGCAUUGAGAUAAGAAAAUAAAGACUCAAUUAUUGGCAUAUUGUGCCUCAUCUCUUCCACGAUAAGGAGACCUUCUAACGCGACCUCAAGGUGACAAACUUCGACGUCAAGGAGAACGGUCGCAAGGACUCAAAACUCCUGAUUCAAUUAACGUCAUUCAAACAUUGAGUUAAAAAUAACAGUCAAAGUUCUUUAUUCUUUCCCAAAAACGAAAAACCUAGCAACUCAAUAUAUAUUACCUUCGUAGCGUGGGCUCCUGCAAUAUCUAGGAGAAGUAUGAUUCUUAUGCUUUCGAGAACCUCCAUGGGUCAUGCAAGUAUGGAAAAAAUGGUCAUUCUCACCAGACUCGUAGCAUUUUAAAUCAAAACCAGAACGAUUGUACCCCCUACCACCACCACAGUCACUGUCGCUGCCAUUACCACCAAUCCAUCGUCGUGACGACUUCCAUCCCUAGAAUUGUGAGAAGGCUUUAUUCUCUAGCCAUUUUUACCUAUUUCAAUUUACAAGGAUAUGAUUUCUAGCAUAUUACAUAAGAAAUUUAACGUCAGAAUGUUGAUUGAAGAAAAUACAACAUGAUAAAGAUAACAGGUAAAAAAACCCAGCACAUAAAAAAAUUAACAUUUCAAUAUUGAAUAAACAUGAGAUCUAAUAGAAAUUGUUUUUUUCUCUAACACUCACCAGACCACUUUACUGGAAACCCUCUCAUGUACUUUGGAGAACAUGGAUGCAAUGCAAAUGUCGGCAUUACGAAGGUUUACUUGUGAAGAUUCAUGUUGAAAGACCAAUAAUAAUAUAUAUUAUUUAAAUGCAU
Molecule: long non-coding RNA, 1236 nt
Filed under: Olea europaea subsp. europaea
Lineage: Eukaryota; Viridiplantae; Streptophyta; Magnoliopsida; Lamiales; Oleaceae
Source: RNAcentral